CCCUUAGAUGGUCUGGGCGGCACGCGCGCUACAACGAUGCAUUCAAAAAGUCUUCUGACCUUAGAAGGUUGGGUAUUCUCCAAAGUGCAUCGUGAUGGGAAUAGUUUAUUGCAAUUUUUAAUCUUGAACGAGGAAUUCCUAGUAAGUACAGGUCAUCAACUUGUGUUGAUUACGUCCCUGCCCUUUGUACACACCGCCCGUCGCUACUACCGAUUGAAUGGUUUAGUGAGAUCCUUGGAUCGGCCCUGUCGCGGCUGGCAACGGCCGCGUCGGCGCGUCGAGAAGACGAUCAAACUUGAUCAUUUAGAGGAAGUAAAAGUCGUAACA
This 327-nucleotide ribosomal RNA is filed under the name uncultured eukaryote. Its description in RNAcentral is "partial 18S ribosomal RNA". It matches the Rfam family "Eukaryotic small subunit ribosomal RNA", at positions 1470 to 1796 of the family's 1831-position model. The record is from RNAcentral.